AUUGCAGGCUGCAACCCGCCCUGCAUGAAGUCGGAAUUGCUAGUAAUCGCGGAUCAGCAUGCCGCGGUGAAUACGUUCCCGGGCCUUGUACACACCGCCCGUCACACCAUGGGAGUCGGAAAUGCCCGAAGCCGGUGACCCAACCAAAAGGAGGGAGCCGUCGAAGGCAGGUCUGAUAACUGGGGUGAAGUCGUAACAAGGUAGC
RNAcentral lists this ribosomal RNA (205 nucleotides) under uncultured bacterium. RNAcentral's name for it is "partial 16S ribosomal RNA". It matches the Rfam family "Bacterial small subunit ribosomal RNA", at positions 1297 to 1500 of the family's 1533-position model. The record is from RNAcentral.